GAAUCAUUUAAAAAUUAGGUUUGUAAAUGUGGGUUCCCUUCCAAGGGUUUAUUCUAGUAGGAAUUUGUACUUCUGAGAUGCUGGGGAAAGCCCUGGCAAAUAGAGACUGCUAGAAAAAGCAAAGAUAGUAUCUGCUGUUCCAUAAACAAGCAGUUACUGGACGGCAGGUAAUUUCGGCUGUGUAAUGCAGGCAAGCGCUUAGCCUGUGCUACUAACCCCUUGCUAGGUCCCAUCUAAACUGUUUCACGCCUGAAAAUUGCUAUGGGGUUAAAUUGUCCAUCAGCAGGAAGAGAAAAAGGGAAGCUUCAUGUUCAUGAUGAGGAACAUGUUCAGAGAAGCGUCAAGCUUGAAUGGAAAGAGAGGGAGGAGAAAUGUCUGUAAAGAGAUUAUGGAGCUAAGUAAGGUAAGAACAGCUUUAAAACAGCAGGCACGGAAGUGAAUGGAUAGAAUGGAAGAGUCCACUCACUAGACCUAGAGAGACCUAGACUAGAUUCGCAGAGAUUAAAAUCACCCCAGCUGGUACACACAAGUUUUCUAGAAUUCUAGGAGUCCACAGAAUAGCAUUAAUCACCAUGGGAGUCUGGCAUCACUGCUGUGUGGAGCUGCCUUCAUGAAGCCGGCAGAGCAAAGAUCCAGGAGCAGAAGCCCAAAAAGCAUUGAAGGAGAGAAGCAGCAGGAUGGGGCUUCCAGAGCCGAGGCUGGACUGUACUGCUGCCAUCUCGACUCACUGCAACCUCCCUGCCUGAUUCUCCUGCCUCAGCCUGCCAAGUACCUGGGAUUGCAGGCGCGCGCCGCCACUCCUGACUGGUUUUCGUAUUUUUUGGUGGAGACGGGGUUUCGCCCUGUUGGCCGGGCUGGUCUCCAGCUCCUGACCGCGAGUGAUCUGCCAGCCUCGGCCUCCCGAGGUGCCAGGAUUGCAGACGGAGUCUCGCUCACUCAGUGCUCAGUGUUGCCCAGGCUGGAGUGCAGUGGCGUGAUCUCGGCUCCCUACAACCUCCACCUCCCAGCCACCUGCCUUGGCCUCCCAAAGUGCCGAGAUUGCAGCCUCUGCCUGGCCGCCACCCCAUCUAGGAAGUGAGGAGCAUCUCUGCCUGGCCGCCCAUCGUUUGGGAUGUGAGGAGCCCCUCUGCCCGGCCGCCCAGUCUGGGAAGUGAGGAGCGCCUCUUCCCGGCCACCAUCCCGUCUUGGAAGUGAGGAGUGUCUCUGCCCGGCCGCCCAUCGUCUGGGAUGUGGGGAGCGCCUCUGCCCCGCCAACCCGUCUGAGAUGUGAAGAGCGCCUCUGCCCGGCUGCGACCCCGUCUGGGAACUGAGGAGUGUCUCUGCCCCGCCGCCACCCCGUCUGGGAGGUGAGGAGCGUCUCUGACCGGCCGCCCCUUCUGAGAAGUGAGGAGCCCCUCCGCCCAGCAGCCGCCCCGUCUGGGAAGUGAGGAGCCCCUCUGCCUGGCCGCCACCCCGUCUGGGGGGUGUACCCAGCAGCUCAUUGAGAACGGGCCAUGAUGACGAUGGUGGUUUUGUCGAAUAGAACAGGGGGAAAUGUGGGGAAGGGAAGGAGAGAUCAGAUUGUUACUGUGUCUGUGUAGAAAGAAGUAGACAUAGGAGACUCCAUUUUGUUCUGUACUAAGAAAAGUUCUUCUGCCUUGGGAUGCUGUUAAUCUAUAACCUUACCCCCAACCCCGUGCUCUCUGAAACAUGUGCUGUGUCCACUAAGGGUUAAAUGGAUUAAGGGCGGUGCAAGAUGUGCUUUGUUAAACAGAGGCUUGAAGGCAGCAUACUCCUUAAGAGUCAUCACCACUCCCUGAUCUCAAGUACCCAGGGACACAAACACUGCAGAAGGCGGCAUGGCCCUCUGCCUAGGAAAACCAGAGACCUUUGUUCACAUGUUUAUCUGCUGACCUUCCCUCCACUAUUGUCCUAUGACCCUGCCAAAUCCCCCUCUCCGAGAAACACCCAAGAAUGAUCAAUAAAUACUAAAAAAAUUAAAAUAAAAUAAAAUAAAAUAAGCCUUGACCUCCCAGGCUCAGGUGAUCCUCCCAUGUCAGCCUCUCCGGUAGCUGGCACUACAGGUGCACACCACCACACCCAGCUAAUUUUUGUAUUUUCUUGUAGAGAAGGGCUCCCACCAUGAUUCCCAGGCUGGUCCCGAACCCCUGGGAAGGAGGGCUAAAGCUAUCCACCCUCCUCUUCCUCCCAAAGUGUUGUGAUUACAGUUGUAAGCUACUGUGCCUGGCCAAGAAAACAAUUUUUAAAGAGGCUAGGUAAUUCAAAGUCACACAGUUAAUAAUGGUGCAGUGAGAAAUGAAAAUGCUCACUCUGUGGCUUCAGAGCUUACACUCUCCUACUUUUAUGGAGUACACUAAAUUAGGAACCAGAUAAAACUUGUCAUCUUACAAAUCCUCCUCAUAAACCUUAUCUGUAAUAUCAGGAGAAGAAUACCUACUUUGUAUAGUUAUUGUGAUGAAUAAGUGAUUUUUAAAAAUAUUUAGCACAGCCUGGUACACAGUGUAUUUUCAAGAUAUGAUAGUUUAAAAAAAAAAAAAAAAACCUAAAACCCACAAAACAGACAUUUCAACAUGAGUUUUUCUUCAUACCUUCAUACGUUUUGUAUAAAUCUGGCCAUCUUUCAUUCUUCUUCCUCCCACUCUCUGGGAUUAUAUUGUUUUUAUGCAAUCGGGAUAAACUAAUAAACUAAU
This 2690-nucleotide long non-coding RNA is filed under the name Homo sapiens (human). Its description in RNAcentral is "HSALNT0349225". Lineage: Eukaryota; Metazoa; Chordata; Mammalia; Primates; Hominidae. The record is from RNAcentral.